AUUGAACGCUGGCGGCAUGCCUUACACAUGCAAGUCGAACGGCAGCACGGGUGCUUGCACCUGGUGGCGAGUGGCGAACGGGUGAGUAAUACAUCGGAACGUACCUUAUCGUGGGGGAUAACGCAGCGAAAGCUGUGCUAAUACCGCAUACGCCCUGAGGGGGAAAGCGGGGGAUCGAAAGACCUCGCGCGAUUAGAGCGGCCGAUGCCUGAUUAGCGUGUUGGUGGGGUAAAAGCCCACCAAGGCGACGAUCAGUAGCUGGUCUGAGAGGACGAUCAGCCACACUGGGACUGAGACACGGCCCAGACUCCUACGGGAGGCAGCAGUGGGGAAUUUUGGACAAUGGGGGCAACCCUGAUCCAGCAAUGCCGCGUGAGUGAAGAAGGCCUUCGGGUUGUAAAGCUCUUUGUCAGGGAAGAAACACCGGCUCUAACACAGUCCGGGAAUGACGGUACCUGAAGAAUAAGCACCGGCUAACUACGUGCCAGCAGCCGCCGUAA
This 500-nucleotide ribosomal RNA is filed under the name uncultured bacterium. RNAcentral describes it as "partial 16S ribosomal RNA". It matches the Rfam family "Bacterial small subunit ribosomal RNA", at positions 29 to 523 of the family's 1533-position model. The record is from RNAcentral.